RNAcentral lists this ribosomal RNA (505 nucleotides) under uncultured bacterium. RNAcentral's name for it is "bacterial SSU rRNA". It matches the Rfam family "Bacterial small subunit ribosomal RNA", at positions 29 to 525 of the family's 1533-position model. The record is from RNAcentral.
AGCGAACGUUUGCGGCGGGCUUAACACAUGCAAGUCGAACGAGAAUCCCUUCGGGGAGGAAAGUGGCGCACGGGUGCGUAACACGUGGAUAACCAACCCAUUGGUUUGGGACAACACCGGGAAACUGGUGCUAAUACCAGAUGUGUCGCAGCUGUCUUCAGGCGGUUGCGAGAAAGGCCCGCAAGGGUCGCCAACGGACGGGUCCGCGUCCCAUCAGCUAGUUGGUGAGGUAAUGGCUCACCAAGGCAAAGACGGGUAGCUGGUCUGAGAGGAUGAUCAGCCACACUGGAACUGAGACACGGUCCAGACUCCUACGGGAGGCAGCAGUGGGGAAUAUUGGACAAUGGGGGCAACCCUGAUCCAGCAAUGCCGCGUGUGUGAAGAAGGCCUGAGGGUUGUAAAGCACUUUCAGUGGAGAGGAGGGUUGAUAGGUUAAGAGCUAAUUAACUGGACGUUACCCACAGAAGAAGCACCGGCUAACUCCGUGCCAGCAGCCGCGGUAAAG